AAUCAACGCUGGCGGCGUGCCUAACACAUGCAAGUCGCACGAGAAAGGGACUUCGGUCCUGAGUACAGUGGCGCACGGGUGAGUAACACGUGAAUAAUCUACCUUCGAGUGGGGAAUAACUGAGAGAAAUCUUAGCUAAUACCGCAUAAUACCUACGGGUCAAAGCAGCAAUGCGCUUGAAGAGGAGUUCGCGGCAGAUUAGUUAGUUGGCAGGGUAAUGGCCUACCAAGACGAUGAUCUGUAUCCGGCCUGAGAGGGCGCACGGACACACUGGAACUGAAACACGGUCCAGACUCCUACGGGAGGCAGCAGUGGGGAAUUUUGCGCAAUGGGGGAAACCCGUGACGCAGCAACGCCGCGUGGAGGAUGAAAUCCCUUGGGAUGUAAACUCCUUUCGAUCGGGAAGAUAAUGACGGUACCGAGAGAAGAAGCCCCGGCUAACUUCGUGCCAGCAGCCG
Molecule: ribosomal RNA, 458 nt
Filed under: uncultured bacterium
Lineage: Bacteria
Description: bacterial SSU rRNA
Rfam family: Bacterial small subunit ribosomal RNA
Source: RNAcentral